AAUGAACGUUGGCGGCGUGGAUUAGGCAUGCAAGUCGUACGCACAGCAAUGUGAGUGGCGCAAGGGUGAGUAAUGAGAAGGUAACCAACCCUGAAGUUGGGCAUAGCCGCGGGAAACUGCGGGUAAUACCCAGCGACGUCACGAGGUGGCAUCAUCUUGUGACCAAAGGUGUGAUUCCGCUUUAGGACGGGCCUUCUUGGUAUUAGGUAGUUGGUAGGGUAACGGCCUACCAAGCCUACGAUGCCUACCGGGUGUGAGAGCAUGACCCGGCACACUGGAACUGAGACACUGUCCAGACACCUACGGGUGGCUGCAGUCGAGGAUCAUCGGCAAUGGGCGAAAGCCUGACCGAGCGACGCCGCGUGCGGGAUGAAGGCCUUCGGGUUGUAAACCGCUGUCGUAGAGGAGGAAAUGCAGGGGGGUUCUCCCUUCUGUUUGACCUAUUCUAGGAGGAAGGACGGGCUAAGUUCGUGCCAGCAGCCGCGGUAA
Molecule: ribosomal RNA, 489 nt
Filed under: uncultured bacterium
Lineage: Bacteria
Description: partial 16S ribosomal RNA
Rfam family: Bacterial small subunit ribosomal RNA
Source: RNAcentral